This 497-nucleotide ribosomal RNA is filed under the name uncultured bacterium. Its description in RNAcentral is "partial 16S ribosomal RNA". It matches the Rfam family "Bacterial small subunit ribosomal RNA", at positions 28 to 507 of the family's 1533-position model. The record is from RNAcentral.
GAUGAACGCUGGCGGCGUGCCUAAUACAUGCAAGUCGAGCGAACGGACGAGAAGCUUGCUUCUCUGAUGUUAGCGGCGGACGGGUGAGUAACACGUGGAUAACCUACCUAUAAGACUGGGAUAACUUCGGGAAACCGGAGCUAAUACCGGAUGAUAUUUUGAACCGCAUGGUUCAAAAGUGAAAGACGGUCUUGCUGUCACUUAUAGAUGGAUCCGCGCUGCAUUAGCUAGUUGGUAAGGUAACGGCUUACCAAGGCAACGAUGCAUAGCCGACCUGAGAGGGGGAUCGGCCACACUGGAACUGAGACACGGACCAGACUCCUACGAGAGGCAGCAGUAGGGAAUCUUCCGCAAUGGGCGAAAGCCUGACGGAGCAACGCCGCGUGAGUGAUGAAGGUCUUCGGAUCGUAAAACUCUGUUAUUAGGGAAGAACAUAUGUGUAAGUAACUGUGCACAUCUUGACGGUACCUAAUCAGAAAGCCACGGCUAACUACGUG